AGUCAAGUAAUUAAGUGCAUGUGGUGGAUGCCUUGGCAGUCAGAGGCGAUGAAAGACGUGAUAGCCUGCGAAAAGCUCCGGGGAGGCGGCAAAUAUCCUUUGAUCCGGAGAUGUCUGAAUGGGGGAACCCACCUACUUUAAGGUAGGUAUUGCAACAUGAAUACAUAGUGUUGCAAGGCGAACGAGGGGAAGUGAAACAUCUCAGUACCCUUAGGAAAAGAAAUCAAUUGAGAUUCCCUCAGUAGCGGCGAGCGAACGGGGAUCAGCCCAUUAAGUUAUGUGUGUUUUAGUGGAACGCUCUGGGAAGUGCGAACGUAGAGGGUGAUAUUCCCGUACACGAAAGGGCACACAUAAUGAUGACGAGUAGGGCGAGGCACGUGAAACCUUGUCUGAAUAUGGGGGGACCAUCCUCCAAGGCUAAAUACUCCUGACUGACCGAUAGUGAACCAGUACCGUGAGGGAAAGGCGAAAAGAACCCCUGUGAGGGGAGUGAAAUAGAUCCUGAAACCGCAUGCAUACAAGCAGUGGGAGCACCUUCGUGGUGUGACUGCGUACCUUUUGUAUAAUGGGUCAGCGACUUAUAUUCAGUAGCGAGGUUAACCGUAUAGGGGAGCCGUAGAGAAAUCGAGUCUUAAUAGGGCGUUUAGUUGCUGGGUAUAGACCCGAAACCAGGCGAUCUAUCCAUGAGCAGGUUGAAGGUUGGGUAACACUAACUGGAGGACCGAACCCACUGUCGUUGAAAAGCCAGGGGAUGACUUGUGGAUAGGGGUGAAAGGCUAAUCAAGCCUGGUGAUAGCUGGUUCUCCCCGAAAGCUAUUUAGGUAGCGCCUCGGACGAAUACCAUAGGGGGUAGAGCACUGUUUCGGCUAGGGGGUCAUCCCGACUUACCAAACCGAUGCAAACUCCGAAUACCUAUGAGUACUAUCCGGGAGACAGACUGCGGGUGCUAACGUCCGUAGUCAAGAGGAAAACAAUCCAGACCGCCAGCUAAGGCCCCAAAAUCAUAGUUAAGUGGGAAACGAUGUGGGAAGGCAUAGACAGCUAGGAGGUUGGCUUAGAAGCAGCCACCCUUUAAAGAAAGCGUAAUAGCUCACUAGUCGAGUCGGCCUGCGCGGAAGAUGUAACGGGGCUAAAACUAUGUGCCGAAGCUGCGGAUGUAUACUUUGUAUACGUGGUAGGGGAGCGUUCUGUAAGCCGAUGAAGGUGUGUUGAGAAGCAUGCUGGAGGUAUCAGAAGUGCGAAUGCUGACGUGAGUAACGACAAAACGGGUGAAAAACCCGUUCGCCGAAAGACCAAGGGUUCCAGUCCAACGUUAAUCGGGGCUGGGUGAGUCGACCCCUAAGGCGAGGCCGAAAGGCGUAGUCGAUGGGAAAAUGGUUAAUAUUCCAUUACUUCUGUGUAAUGCGAUGAGAGGACGGAGAAGGCUAAAUCAGCCUGGCGUUGGUUGUCCAGGUGAAAGGAUGUAGGCAUGUAUCUUAGGCAAAUCCGGGGUACUCUAUGCUGAGAUCUGAUAGCAAGCUGUACUUGUACAGCGAAGUGGUUGAUGCCAUGCUUCCAGGAAAAGUCUCUAAGCUUCAGUUACACAGGAAUCGUACCCGAAACCGACACAGGUGGUCAGGUCGAGUAGACCAAGGCGCUUGAGAGAACUCUGCUGAAGGAACUAGGCAAAAUGGUACCGUAACUUCGGGAGAAGGUACGCUGUUGUUGGUGAUGGAACUUGCUUCCUGAGCUGACGACAGCCGCAGAAACCAGGCCGCUGCAACUGUUUAUUAAAAACAUAGCACUCUGCAAACACGAAAGUGGACGUAUAGGGUGUGAUGCCUGCCCGGUGCUGGAAGGUUAAUUGAUGGGGUUAGCGUAAGCGAAGCUCUUGAUCGAAGCCCCAGUAAACGGCGGCCGUAACUAUAACGGUCCUAAGGUAGCGAAAUUCCUUGUCGGGUAAGUUCCGACCUGCACGAAUGGCAUAAUGAUGGCGGCGCUGUCUCCAGCAGAGGCUCAGUGAAAUCGAAAUCGCUGUGAAGAUGCAGUGUACCCGCGGCUAGACGGAAAGACCCCGUGAACCUUUACUGCAGCUUGACACUGAACUUUGACCUUACUUGUGUAGGAUAGGUGGGAGGCUUUGAAGCUGGAACGCUAGUUCCAGUGGAGCCGUCCUUGAAAUACCACCCUGGUAAUGUUGAGGUUCUAACUCUGUCCCGUGAUCCGGGACGAGGACCGUGUCUGGUGGGUAGUUUGACUGGGGCGGUCUCCUCCUAAAGAGUAACGGAGGAGUACGAAGGUGCGCUCAGCGUGGUCGGAAAUCACGCGUAGAGUAUAAAGGCAAAAGCGCGCUUAACUGCGAGACCCACAAGUCGAGCAGGUACGAAAGUAGGUCUUAGUGAUCCGGUGGUUCUGUAUGGAAGGGCCAUCGCUCAACGGAUAAAAGGUACUCUGGGGAUAACAGGCUGAUACCGCCCAAGAGUUCAUAUCGACGGCGGUGUUUGGCACCUCGAUGUCGGCUCAUCUCAUCCUGGGGCUGAAGCAGGUCCCAAGGGUAUGGCUGUUCGCCAUUUAAAGAGGUACGCGAGCUGGGUUUAGAACGUCGUGAGACAGUUCGGUCCCUAUCUACCGUGGGCGCUGGAAAUUUGAGAGGAUCUGCUCCUAGUACGAGAGGACCAGAGUGGACGAACCUCUGGUGUACCGGUUGUGACGCCAGUCGCAUCGCCGGGUAGCUAUGUUCGGAAGGGAUAACCGCUGAA
This 2738-nucleotide ribosomal RNA is filed under the name Acinetobacter baumannii. RNAcentral describes it as "partial 23S ribosomal RNA". It matches the Rfam family "Bacterial large subunit ribosomal RNA". Lineage: Bacteria; Pseudomonadati; Pseudomonadota; Gammaproteobacteria; Moraxellales; Moraxellaceae. The record is from RNAcentral.